This 484-nucleotide ribosomal RNA is filed under the name uncultured bacterium. RNAcentral describes it as "partial 16S ribosomal RNA". It matches the Rfam family "Bacterial small subunit ribosomal RNA", at positions 30 to 507 of the family's 1533-position model. The record is from RNAcentral.
AUUGAACGCUGGCGGCAGGCCUAACACAUGCAAGUCGAGCGGAUGAAGGGGGCUUUCUCCUGGAUUCAGCGGCGGACGGGUGAGUAAUGCCUAGGAAUCUGCCUGGUAGUGGGGGAUAACGUCCGGAAACGGGCGCUAAUACCGCAUACGUCCUGAGGGUGAAAUUGGGGGAUCUUCGGACCUCACGCUAUCAGAUGAGCCUAGGUCGGAUUAGCUAGUUGGUGGGGUAAAGGCCUACCAAGGCGACGAUCCGUAACUGGUCUGAGAGGAUGAUCAGUCACACUGGAACUGAGAAACGGUCCAGACUCCUAAGGGAGGAAGAAGUGGGGAAUAUUGGACAAUGGGCGAAAGCCUGAUCCAGCCAUGCGGCGUGUGUGAAGAAGGUCUUCGGAUUGUAAAGCACUUUAAGUUGGGAGGAAGGGCAGUAAGUUAAUACCUUGCUGUUUUGACGUUACCAACAGAAUAAGCACCGGCUAACUUCGUG